GGCAGGGUACGAUGUCGAUUUGGAGGUUGUGCCCUUGAGGCGUGGCUUCCGAAGCUAACGCGUUAAAUCGACCGCCUGGGGAGUACGGCCGCAAGGUUAAAACUCAAAUGAAUUGACGGGGGCCCGCACAAGCGGUGGAGCAUGUGGUUUAAUUCGAUGCAACGCGAAGAACCUUACCUACUCUUGACAUCCAGCGAAUCCUGUAGAGAUACGGGAGUGCCUUCGGGAACGCUGAGACAGGUGCUGCAUGGCUGUCGUCAGCUCGUGUUGUGAAAUGUUGGGUUAAGUCCCGCAACGAGCGCAACCCUUAUCCUUUGUUGCCAGCGGUUCGGCCGGGAACUCAAAGGAGACUGCCAGUGAUAAACUGGAGGAAGGUGGGGAUGACGUCAAGUCAUCAUGGCCCUUACGAGUAGGGCUACACACGUGCUACAAUGGCGUAUACAAAGAGAAGCGAACUCGCGAGAGCAAGCGGACCUCAUAAAGUACGUCGUAGUCCGGAUUGGAGUCUGCAACUCGACUCCAUGAAGUCGGAAUCGCUAGUAAUCGUGGAUCAGAAUGCCACGGUGAAUACGUUCCCGGGCCUUGUACACACCGCCCGUCACACCAUGGGAGUGGGUUGCAAAAGAAGUAGGUAGCUUAA
RNAcentral lists this ribosomal RNA (640 nucleotides) under Edwardsiella tarda. RNAcentral describes it as "bacterial SSU rRNA". It matches the Rfam family "Bacterial small subunit ribosomal RNA", at positions 798 to 1438 of the family's 1533-position model. The record is from RNAcentral. Lineage: Bacteria; Pseudomonadati; Pseudomonadota; Gammaproteobacteria; Enterobacterales; Hafniaceae.